Molecule: ribosomal RNA, 253 nt
Filed under: uncultured bacterium
Lineage: Bacteria
Description: partial 16S ribosomal RNA
Rfam family: Bacterial small subunit ribosomal RNA
Source: RNAcentral
GACAGAGGGUGCAAACGUUGUUCGGAAUUACUGGGCGUAAAGCGUGUGUAGGCGGCUUUGCAAGUCGGAUGUGAAAGCCCCGGGCUCAACCCGGGAAGUGCACUCGAUACUGGAUGGCUUGAGAUCGGGAGAGGGAUGCGGAAUUCCAGGUGUAGCGGUGAAAUGCGUAGAUAUCUGGAGGAACACCGGUGGCGAAGGCGGCAUCCUGGACCGACACUGACACUGAGGAGCGAAAGCCAGGGGAGCAAACGGG